CCUACGGGAGGCAGCAGUGGGGAAUAUUGGACAAUGGGGGGAACCCUGAUCCAGCGACGCCGCGUGAGUGAAGAAGUAUUUCGGUAUGUAAAGCUCUAUCAGCGGGGAAGAAAGACAUGACGGUACCUGACUACGAAGCCCCGGCUAACUACGUGCCAGCAGCCGCGGUAAUACGUAGGGGGCAAGCGUUAUCCGGAUUUACUGGGUGUAAAGGGAGCGUAGACGGCGAUGCAAGUCUGAAGUGAAAGGCGGGGGCCCAACCCCCGGACUGCUUUGGAAACUGUAUGGCUGGAGUGCAGGAGAGGUAAGUGGAAUUCCUAGUGUAGCGGUGAAAUGCGUAGAUAUUAGGAGGAACACCAGUGGCGAAGGCGGCUUACUGGACUGUAACUGACGUUGAGGCUCGAAAGCGUGGGGAGCAAACAGGAUUAGAUACCCGGGUAGUC
This 443-nucleotide ribosomal RNA is filed under the name uncultured bacterium. Its description in RNAcentral is "partial 16S ribosomal RNA". It matches the Rfam family "Bacterial small subunit ribosomal RNA", at positions 338 to 795 of the family's 1533-position model. The record is from RNAcentral.